AGCGAUAGGCUUAACACAUGCAAGUCGAGGGGCAUCACGAGGUAGCAAUACUUUGGUGGCGACCGGCGUACGGGUGCGUAACACGUAUGCAACCUUCCUGUAAGUGUGGGAUAGCCUCCUGAAAGGGAGAUUAAUACCUCAUGAUAUGUAUUUGCUGCAUGGCAUUUACAUUAAACAUUUAUGGCUUACAGAUGGGCAUGCGUUCCAUUAGGCAGUUGGUGUGGUAACGGCUCACCAAACCUACGAUGGAUAGGGGUUCUGAGAGGAAGGUCCCCCACACUGGAACUGAGACACGGUCCAGACUCCUACGGGAGGCAGCAGUGAGGAAUAUUGGUCAAUGGGCGCGAGCCUGAACCAGCCACGUCGCGUGAAGGAUGACGGCCUUAUGGGUUGUAAACUUCUUUUACAGGGGAAUAAAGUGAGUCACGUGUGAUUUUUUGCAUGUACCCUGUGAAUAAGCAUCGGCUAACUCCGUGCCAGCAGCCGCGGUAAUACGGAGGAUGCGAGCGUUAUCCGGAUUUAUUGGGUUUAAAGGGUGCGUAGGCGGGAUAUUAAGUCAGCGGUGA
RNAcentral lists this ribosomal RNA (566 nucleotides) under uncultured bacterium. Its description in RNAcentral is "bacterial SSU rRNA". It matches the Rfam family "Bacterial small subunit ribosomal RNA", at positions 38 to 597 of the family's 1533-position model. The record is from RNAcentral.